AGUGAACGCUGGCGGCGGGCCUAACACAUGCAAGUCGAACGGCAGCACAGUAAGAGCUUGCUCUUACGGGUGGCGGGUGACGGGCGGGUGAGGCAUACAUAGGAUUCUACUUUUUCGUGGAGGACAUCGUAGGACCACUUAUGCUAAUACAGCAUACGAUCUACGGGUGAGAGCAGGGGAUCUUCGCACUUUGCCUGUUUGAAUGAGCCGAUGUCGGAUUAGAUAGUUAGCGAGGUAAAGGCCCACCAAGGCAACGAUCCGUAGCUGAUCUGAGAGGAUGAUCGGCCACACUGGAACUGAGACACGGUCCAGACUCCUACGGGAGGCAGCAGUAGGGAAUAUUGGGCAAUGGGCGCAAGCCUGACGCAGCCAUGCCGCGUGGGUGAAGAAGGUCUUCGGGUUGUAAAGCCCUGUUGUUGGGGAAGAACAUCUGUGUGUGUAUACGCGGCUGUUCUGACGGUACCUAAAGAAUAAGCAACGGCUAACUUCGUG
This 492-nucleotide ribosomal RNA is filed under the name uncultured bacterium. Its description in RNAcentral is "partial 16S ribosomal RNA". It matches the Rfam family "Bacterial small subunit ribosomal RNA", at positions 29 to 507 of the family's 1533-position model. The record is from RNAcentral.